RNAcentral lists this ribosomal RNA (774 nucleotides) under uncultured Neocallimastigales. Its description in RNAcentral is "partial large subunit ribosomal RNA". It matches the Rfam family "Eukaryotic large subunit ribosomal RNA", at positions 24 to 616 of the family's 3401-position model. Lineage: Eukaryota; Fungi; Neocallimastigomycota; Neocallimastigomycetes; Neocallimastigales. The record is from RNAcentral.
UAUGUGAUCGUCUCUCGCAUAUCAAUAAGCGGAGGAAAAGAAACUAACAAGGAUUCCCCUAGUAACGGCGAGUGAAGCGGGAAGAGCUCAAAUUUGAAAUCUUAAAGGGUUUCCCUUUACGAAUUGUAGUUUAAAGAAGUGUUUUCUGUUGAGGUUUUGGUAAAAGUUCUUUGGAAUAGGACAUCAUAGAGGGUGAGAAUCCCGUAUUUGACCUUUACUUUCAACUUUGUGAUACACUUUCAAAGAGUCGGAUUGUUUGGGAAUGCAGUCCAAAAUGGGUGGUAAAUUUCAUCUAAAGCUAAAUAUUGGCGAGAGACCGAUAGCGAACAAGUACCGUGAGGGAAAGAUGAAAAGAACUUUGAAAAGAGAGUUAAACAGUACGUGAAAUUGUCAAAAGGGAAGCGUUUGACACCAGUGUUGUUUUUCUGAAAAUCAAUUAAAGAACUGUCUAUGCUAAGCUGUUUAGACUUUAUCAGCUAUCUGUUUAGUUUUGAGCUUUUCUUUAAUGCACUUUUCAGUUAACAAGUCAACAUCAAUUUCUUUUGCUGUAAAAAAGCUUGAGGAAGGUGGCUUGAGAUUCGUCUUAAGUGUUUAUAGCCUCUUGCCUAUGCAGUCGGAGAGAUUGAGGUCUGCAACGUAGAUCCUUCGGGGCUAAAUGCAUUUGUGCUAAGUUAUAGCAUUUUAUAGACAACUUGUUGACUAUGAUUUGUCUUGUAGCUUACUCGCUUAUGUUAUUUUACCUACGCUUAGGAUGUUGAGCGCAUGUCUCUCUCU